CUGGCGGGGUUCCUUUUGUGCUUCUGCUGCUUGUUCUUCUUGGCUGAUCUUGACAAUUGGACAUAAACUUGGCUGAAUCUCGAUCACAAAGUUGGCCUUCCAAAAUAAUAAACUGAAGUAUGGCUUUAUGUUUGAAAUGAUGAAACUGCUGGAUAUAUUUAUUUUGCUUGAUAUGUGUUUUGUAUUUUAAAUAUAAGGGUUGUACAUUUGAUGUGUGUGUGUGUGUUUAAGGUGUGAGGUUACGUUAAUGUGUUGUUUAUUCACUAUUAAUAAAUAAAGAUUCAAGUUAAAAUUUA
This is a long non-coding RNA of Stomoxys calcitrans (stable fly), 296 nucleotides long. RefSeq lists it as uncharacterized. The transcript has 2 exons. Lineage: Eukaryota; Metazoa; Arthropoda; Insecta; Diptera; Muscidae. The record is from RefSeq and is a predicted model, not a curated record.